CAGAACUUUUUUUAAUUACUGUU
RNAcentral lists this small nuclear RNA (23 nucleotides) under Arabidopsis thaliana (thale cress). RNAcentral's name for it is "snRNA_17260". Lineage: Eukaryota; Viridiplantae; Streptophyta; Magnoliopsida; Brassicales; Brassicaceae. The record is from RNAcentral.